UACAGAGGGUGCGAGCGUUAAUCGGAAUUACUGGGCGUAAAGCGCACGUAGGUGGCGACGUAAGUCGGGUGUGAAAGCCCCGGGCUCAACCUGGGAAUUGCAUUCGAGACUGCAUUGCUGGAGUACGGAAGAGGAGGGCGGAAUUCCCGGUGUAGCGGUGAAAUGCGUAGAUAUCGGGAGGAGCAUCAGUGGCGAAGGCGGCCCUCUGGUCCAGUAAUGACUCUCAAGUGCGAAAGCGUGGGGAGCAAACAGG
Molecule: ribosomal RNA, 253 nt
Filed under: uncultured bacterium
Lineage: Bacteria
Description: partial 16S ribosomal RNA
Rfam family: Bacterial small subunit ribosomal RNA
Source: RNAcentral